This 344-nucleotide long non-coding RNA is filed under the name Gossypium barbadense (sea-island cotton). RNAcentral's name for it is "long non-coding RNA (GBAR_LNC018175)". Lineage: Eukaryota; Viridiplantae; Streptophyta; Magnoliopsida; Malvales; Malvaceae. The record is from RNAcentral.
CACCCCAAAACCCAACUAACCUACCCUAACCUAAACAGCCCAAUACCCAUAAGCCCAACUAAUACAUCAGCCAACCCAAAAUUUAAACCCAAACAAAUCAAAACCUUAAAGCCCAAAUGGCCCAAAAUCUAAAACAUUUUUCAGCAAAAUUUCAGCAGCAAACCCUAGCUGGCCGUCGCAUGCCUCACGUGGCCUCCUCAUCUGCCACGCCUCCAUGCCACCAUGUCGGCCACCAUGCCCCUCAGCCUUGGCCACCACGCCCCACGCGUCUGACACUACCACCACCAUGCCUUUGCCGCACCUGCAAACAAGCAAAGGAAAAGGACAAAAAAUGGAGCAAUAAA